RNAcentral lists this unclassified non-coding RNA (253 nucleotides) under plant metagenome. RNAcentral's name for it is "partial contains small subunit ribosomal RNA, internal transcribed spacer 1, and 5.8S ribosomal RNA". The record is from RNAcentral.
UUUCCGUAGGUGAACCUGCGGAAGGAUCAUUAACGAGUUAGGGUCUUCUAGGCCCGACCUCCCAACCCUAUGUUUAUUAAACCUCUGUUGCUUCGGCGGACCCGUCUCACGACCGCCGGAGGAUCGCCGCGAGGCGUCCUCUGGCCAGCGUCCGCCGAUGGCCAACCACUUAAACUCUGAAUAAAUCGCGUCAUUAUGUCUAAGUCUUGAUUAAAUUAAAGCAAAACUUUCAACAACGGAUCUCUUGGUUCUG